This 255-nucleotide unclassified non-coding RNA is filed under the name fungal sp. RNAcentral's name for it is "partial internal transcribed spacer region". The stretch from base 1 to 46 matches the Rfam family "Eukaryotic small subunit ribosomal RNA", at positions 1786 to 1831 of the family's 1831-position model. Lineage: Eukaryota; Fungi. The record is from RNAcentral.
AAGUCGUAACAAGGUUUCCGUAGGUGAACCUGCGGAAGGAUCAUUACAAAUCCGUCACAUUAUGACACGUUGCAAUGUUGGAGAGUCAGGGGGGGGGAGGAGAGAGAGAGAGUGAGAGAAUAUUUCUCUUUUUUUCUUCUUCUUCUUCUUCUUCUUCUGAAACUCUUCACCCUUUUACUAUUAUGUUUGUUGAUCAGUUUUAUUUUUUAAUCACAUACUGUAACACAACUUAUAACAAUGGAUCUCUAGGCUCUU